GACAAACAUUGGUAUGAAGACUUCUGUGUGUUUUGAGAGUGUGUGGUGGGAGGCUGGACAGAUUUUUUUUUUUUCCAAUCCAAAAAAGGAUCAGAGACCUUGGUUCAGAGCAUAUUCUCUGCUUGGAGAGUGAGACAUCUUUAACAGGUUUGCUGCUGCUUGUAUGUUCUCAAUCCCCGGCGGCCUCCUUCCAGCUCAAACAGCCGUGCAGGCCAG
Long non-coding RNA from Oreochromis aureus, 216 nucleotides. RefSeq lists it as uncharacterized. Lineage: Eukaryota; Metazoa; Chordata; Actinopteri; Cichliformes; Cichlidae. The transcript is spliced from 3 exons. The record is from RefSeq and is a predicted model, not a curated record.